RNAcentral lists this ribosomal RNA (505 nucleotides) under uncultured bacterium. Its description in RNAcentral is "partial 16S ribosomal RNA". It matches the Rfam family "Bacterial small subunit ribosomal RNA", at positions 28 to 523 of the family's 1533-position model. The record is from RNAcentral.
GAUGAACGCUAGCGGCAGGCCUAACACAUGCAAGUCGGGGGGCAGCACAUAAAGUGGUUUACUACUUUUGGUGGCGACCGGCGGACGGGUGCGUAACGCGUAUGCAACCUGCCUCCAACAGGGGAAUAACGGAGAGAAAUUUCCACUAAUACCCCAUAAUAUCAGAAUCGGCAUCGGUUUUGGUUGAAAACUCCGGUGGUUGGAGAUGGGCAUGCGUUGUAUUAGAUAGUUGGUGAGGUAACGGCUCACCAAGUCAACGAUACAUAGGGGGACUGAGAGGUUAGCCCCCCACACUGGUACUGAGACACGGACCAGACACCUACGGGAGGCAGCAGUGAGGAAUAUUGGUCAAUGGGGGCAACCCUGAACCAGCCAUGCCGCGUGCAGGAAGACGGCUCUAUGAGUUGUAAACUGCUAUUACAGGGGAUAAAUCGGUGUACGUGUACACCGUUGAAGGUACCUUGGGAAUAAGGAUCGGCUAACUCCGUGCCAGCCGCCGCGGUAA